CUAGGAGUUGGGUGGGGUAGAGAGUAGGGGGCGGUAGUCGGGGGUGGUGGGAGAAGGAGGAGGCGGCGAAUCACUUAUAAAUGGCGCCCAAGCAGGACCCUAAGCCGAAAUUCCAGGAGGGCGAGCGAGUGCUGUGCUUUCAUGGGCCUCUUCUCUAUGAAGCAAAGUGUGUAAAGGUUGCCAUAAAGGACAAACAAGUGAAAUACUUCAUCCAUUACAGUGGCUGGAAUAAAAAUUGGGAUGAAUGGGUGCCAGAAAGCAGAGUACUCAAAUACGUGGACACCAAUUUGCAGAAACAGCGAGAACUUCAAAAGGCCAAUCAGGAACAAUAUGCAGAGGGCAAGAUGAGAGGGGCUGCUCCGGGGAAGAAGACAUCCGGCCUGCAACAGAAAAAUGUCGAAGUGAAAACAAAAAAGAACAAGCAGAAAACACCUGGAAAUGGAGAUGGUGGCAGUACCAGUGAGACACCUCAGCCUCCUAGGAAGAAGAGAGCCCGGGUAGAUCCUACCGUUGAAAAUGAAGAAACCUUCAUGAACAGAGUUGAAGUUAAAGUGAAGAUCCCUGAAGAGCUGAAACCCUGGCUUGUGGAUGACUGGGAUUUGAUCACCAGACAGAAGCAGCUUUUUUAUCUUCCUGCCAAGAAGAAUGUGGAUUCCAUUUUGGAGGAUUAUGCAAAUUAUAAGAAGUCUCGAGGAAAUACAGAUAAUAAAGAGUAUGCUGUUAAUGAGGUGGUGGCAGGCAUAAAGGAGUACUUCAAUGUCAUGUUGGGCACUCAGCUCCUCUACAAGUUUGAGAGACCACAGUACGCUGAAAUCCUCGCCGACCACCCGGAUGCGCCCAUGUCCCAGGUGUACGGAGCGCCACAUUUGCUGAGAUUAUUUGUGCGAAUUGGAGCGAUGUUGGCCUACACGCCUCUAGAUGAGAAAAGCCUUGCUUUAUUACUGAACUAUCUACAUGAUUUUCUCAAGUACCUGGCGAAGAAUUCUGCAACCUUGUUCAGUGCCAGUGAUUAUGAAGUGGCCCCUCCUGAGUACCAUCGGAAAGCCGUGUGAGGGCGUGCUCGCCCUCUCUCCCUCGUGCUUGGAUCUCUGUAAACAGUUUGGUUCUUAGUCCUUCUCUUGUACAAAUGAUGUACUUUGAAGACCGUUAGUGUAUAACAGAGUUGUUUGUUUCCUCUUUGAUUUUAAACAGAGAAAAUAAAAGGAGUAACUGCUCCUUUUUUCUUCCUUUUUUCAUUUCAAAGUUUCUACCAGUGUAUCAGUGACGGACAACAGAGAGACAUGCUGUAGAGUGUUUGCCUAGUUGACAAAGCUGCUUUUGAAUGCUGGUGGUUCUGUUCCUUUGACACUACGCACUUUUAUAAUAUGUGUUAAUGCUCUAUGACAAAUGCUCUGAUUCCUAGUGCCAAAGGUUCACUUCAGUGUAUAUAACUGAACACUCAUCCAUCUGUGCUCUUUUUUUUUUUUUUAAUGGUGCUUAAAGAGCCCAUCCUUUGCAAGUCAUCCAUGUCAUUCCUUAGGCAUCUUAUCUUUGCUCAACUGUUAAAGAAUGGUGGCUUGUUUUCAUGGGUUUUGUAUUUGUGUCUAAUGCACGCUUUAACAUGAUAGACGCAAUGCAUCGUGUAGCUGCAGUUUUAUGGAAAAGUCAAUCUUGUAGGAGUUGUUUUUCAGAUCUUCAAUAAAUUUUUUCUUUAAAUUUCAAAAAAAAAAAAAAAAAAAAAAUCUACCAACUAGCUAAUAAACCAUAACUCCUUUAGCUGUAGAGUACGUGUAACACUCCACUAAAAAAAUGUUUGCAGUAUUACUCGCAAAUUUCCAAAAACCAGACUUUUGGAGGCCAUUUAAGAAAUAUCUUUUGUCCUUUUUAAUUAUUAAACAUUUCCCCCGUAUUUCUUUCUUUUUAUUUUGGUCUCCUAUUUAUUUUCUUCUUUUCUUCCUUCUCCCUGUCUGACCACUGAAAUUGUAUUUUAGUAAAGAUUUAAGAUAGACAGCUCUGUUGAUAUUUCCUUUUAUAGGUAAAUUUCCAAGCAGUGAGUGUCAAGGAAUCCGUGAAUCCACUUUCUCUACAUUGAUUGAAGAGCCACUUUGGGGGCUGGAGGGAAGACUCAGUUGUUAAGACACUUACUGUUCUUGCAGAAGCCUGGGGGUUCCAUUCCCAGCACCUGGUAGGUGGCUUACAAGCGCUGGUCACUCCAGCUUCGGGGGAUUCAGUGUUCUCUUCUGGCCUCAAGACCACCUGAACCUGUGAGCAGGCACACAGACAUGCUCAUAAAUAAUCUCACAAUGUUCUUUACAAACAGAAGCCAUGUUUUCUUCAUAUUUAUUCUUCAAUUUGUAAAUAUUUAUGAUUUUUUAUUUUUAAUUUGAAUUAAUUAAUUUUUACUGUCUGUGAGUGUUUUGGUAGAAUGCAUCUCUAUGCUCCAUGUAUCAUAUAUAUUAUGUUUAAAAUAUGCAUACUUAUUUUGACAGGCCAGAAGAGGGUGUCUGACCUCCUGGAAGUGGAGUUAGAGACUUGAGUCACUGUGUGAGUGCUGGGAAUUGAUCCAGUCCUCUGGGAUUGUAGCCAGGGCUCUAACUACUGAGCCAUUCCUCUAGAUCUGAGUAGUCCCUCUUUUAAUGCUUGGAUGCGUGCCUGACAGUUUCAAUCUUUUGGCCCAGCCACCUGUGUCACCUCUGCACCACAUGGUCACAGAUGGAUAAUAUACUAUCGUAUCUGAUGGGGUCACAUCAUUCACUUUAGUUAUUUUUCCAGGAAUUUUUUUUUCUUUCAGUCCUUGCUUAUUUUUCCAUGAACUUUAGAAUAAACUUGUCUAGCUCUAAAAAUAAUUCUCUCCUGAUAUUUUUGUGGGAAUUGCUUUCCACUUACUCUGAAACCAAGUAAACUGUGCGUUGUAAUAUGUGAGUUAUUUCUCUGUUUUUAAAACCUUUUUGUGAUGCUAAGAUUGUACCCAGUGUCACAUGAUUGCUAGGCCAGUGUUUUACAGCUGGGCACUGUCCCCAUGAAAUCUGGCAUGUUCUUAGGAGCAUGUACAUAUUUCUUCACAUAGACCUUGAGUAUUUCCUGUAUGUUUACCUUUCUAGGAAUUUCUGCCUGCUAUAAUUAAAAUGAUGCAAUCUACUAUUUAAUUGUAUGUAUGUAUGUAUGUAUGUAUGUAUGUAUGUAUGUGUUAAGCUGUGAAUUCUGUAUAUUGAGUUUCUUCCAAGUCAUUUUAUCAAAUUUUUACUUUACUUGAGUAUUUUAAGGUGAUCUCUUUAUGUUGGGGCUAUCACAUCAUCUGCCCCAAACUCUUAAUUUACCUUUCUCUCUGUACCUUUAGAAUGCUGCAGGUUGGCUCUAGUCCUGUUGCUGUCUCUAGAAGAAUAUGCUUACUGCCUGCCUUAAGAGUGAGAGUAAACAUCCUGUUACACUUGACUUCAGUGGACAUGUUAUUAAUUGUGGUGGUGGCUUCUGGCAUAUAUAGCAUGUAAAAAACAUGCACACUUAUUUUGAGAGUUUUUAUUUUAAAACUGAAGCUGAUCUGAAAUGCCUAUCUAAAUCUUUUUUAGAUUUUUUUCAUGUAAAAAUGGAAAUCAUACAUUUCAAAAAAUGGCUAUUUUUUUAUUCUGUACAUUUGCUGUGAUAUAUAAAUAAAACUUCAAAUAUGAUAUGCUUAUAUUUAGUCAGAAAUUUUGUGCAUGUGCACAGGCGUGUGUGUGUUUUUAUGUGUAUCUAGAGUCUGGGAGUUAGUAAUUUUUAAGUGAUUUUUGUAUUAAUUUUUACGUCAGAUUGCUUGGAAGUUCUGUGAAUAGUAUGUGUUUAUUAACAUUUUUGAGUUUUAACAUCCGUGUAAUGCUUAAAAUAGUGUAAGUUGAUGAAGGUUUUUUCCCUGUUUUUAAGACUAAUUUUAAUAUAUUCAUACAUACUACUUAUUCUUCAAAAAUGUUAUAGAAUUCCCUUUGAAGCUACCUCACCUUGGUGUGUGUAUAUGUGUGUAUGUAUAGGUUUAUUCUCCUUAGAAGUUUAAUAUCUCAUUUAUGAUCAAUUGACUUGGUAUGUGUGUUUUCUGUGACCCUCUUGUUAGCUUUUAGGAAACCCAUCUAUUCCAAGUUUAUUAUGUAGACUUUUUACUUGAGGCUGUUUUGUGCCUCCUCGGUCUUCGCUUAUUUUCAUCUUACACUGUUGUGGUUUAUAUCUUUUUGUUUUAUUUAUCUGCUUCCCCUUUUGAUUGAUGUAGCCAAAAUUAAUUAUUUAUUUAAAAAAAUCAAAUUUUGUCUUUCCUUUGGUUUUCCCUUGUUUUUAUUGGCUUAGAUACCUAUGUUCCUUUUUACAUCUUAGUAACUCCUGUUUUGCCUGGUUUCAUUUUGUAUUUUUUUUUUUUUUAUUGUCUGGAUUUGAUUCUCAAUUCAUAUAUUUUAUACCUGAAUAAAAUUCAGGUACUCUGGUUGUGUAUGUUGUGCUGUGUGUGUACUUGUUAGUGUGUGUGUGUGUGUGUGUGUGUGUGUGUGUGUGUGUCUAUGUGUCUGUGUGUACAUCGGGAGAACAGAGGCAGGCAUAAUACCACCUUAGUUUUUGAGAAAAGCUCUCUCGGCAAAUUUGGGUCCACUCAUUAGGUGAGGCUGGCUGGCUGGUGACCUUCAGGCAUCAGACUGUCUUAGAACACCCUGGCUAGUGCUGGGCUUAUGGAAACUAUGUCCUACUUAGAAUCUGGUGACCUGACACUAGGUUCUCAUGAUUGACACUUUACCAGUGAAAUAAUUUCUCCAGCCCUAUUUAUGGUUUUAAGUUAAUAUUAAUACAGUGUAAAAUUUCCUCUGAGCUCUUCUUUAGAGAGGUUAAAUACACUAGUAAUUGUUUAUUAUUUUGUGUUUUCUGUGUGGUUACUUGGCUGUGGAGAGUUCAGUGGUAUACAGAUUCCAGGGAACACAGUGCAGGACCUUGUCUGCUUGACUUAUGCCUACCACAGUGCUUGUCAUAUUUUUUAGAUACCUUCAUUUAUUGAAGUGCUAAAGUAUUUUUGGAGUUUUUUAGGUUAGCUAGAUGGUUCAGUGGGUAAAGAUUCUUGCUGAAAAAUUCUUGUAACAUGAGUUUGAUUCCCAGAAUGCACAGAAAGAAAGGACAGAAGUGACUCCACAGAGUUGUCCUAUGACCUCCAUGUGGGUGACAUGGCACAAGCGCACACC
RNA transcript from Mus musculus (house mouse), 5159 nucleotides. It is a transcript of the gene named mortality factor 4 like 1, pseudogene 1, with no coding region annotated. Lineage: Eukaryota; Metazoa; Chordata; Mammalia; Rodentia; Muridae. The record is from RefSeq and is marked validated. The transcript has a single exon.